UUGCUGUGGGGAUCCGGGCCUCAGCAAAUACAUAAUCGUAGGAUGGAUUAUUGGUGGAGUUGCAGGCUUUGUUAUCAUCGUUAUUUGUAUAAUUUAUUGUUGCAAAAUGUAAGGGAAAGAAAAAAGAAACAACAUUAUCGUAUACUAGGAAGUAAAUAAAGACAACAACACCGUGUUUACAACAAUGUUAACAAGAAUCUCCUGUGAUAUACAAAUGAAUUGUGAUAAAAGACAGAUUUUGUUAUUGUGUUUGUUUGAACAGUAUAAUGUUAUUAACGAUACAGAGGGCAACAAUGCAAUAGUGCGACAGUGCGAUGACGACAAUACGACAGUGCGAUGACGACAGUGCGAUGGCGACAAUGCGAUAACGCGAUAGUGCGAUGACGACAAAGCGAUAGUGUUAUCGCACUGUCGCCAUCGCACUGAUCAAAAUGAUAGAUAUAGCACAUUGAAAAUGAGGAAAGUACAUCACUAUCAUUCCGAAAUAAACCGUUCAUACGGACUUUUGGUCCGAUUGUAACAGGGUCAGUAAUUGGGGUGUAUUUAUAUUUUGUUAAUUGCCAGAGUUGUUCCCCUGGACCUUAAAUGGUUGUUUCCCGUAAAAUCGUAAAAUCAA
Ruditapes philippinarum (Manila clam) is the source of this 616-nucleotide long non-coding RNA. RefSeq lists it as uncharacterized. NCBI's taxonomy places the organism in Eukaryota, Metazoa, Mollusca, Bivalvia, Venerida, Veneridae. The transcript is spliced from 3 exons. The record is from RefSeq and is a predicted model, not a curated record.